Molecule: ribosomal RNA, 254 nt
Filed under: uncultured bacterium
Lineage: Bacteria
Description: partial 16S ribosomal RNA
Rfam family: Bacterial small subunit ribosomal RNA
Source: RNAcentral
UACGUAGGGGGCGAGCGUUGUCCGGAUUUAUUGGGCGUAAAGAGCUCGUAGGCGGCUUGGCAAGUCGGGUGUGAAACCUCCAGGCUCAACCUGGAGACGCCACUCGAGACUGCUAUGGCUAGAGUCCGGUAGGGGACCACGGAAUUCCUGGUGUAGCGGUGAAAUGCGCAGAUAUCAGGAGGAACACCGGUGGCGAAGGCGGUGGUCUGGGCCGGCACUGACGCUGAGGAGCGAAAGCGUGGGUUGCAAACAGG